GCUGUUACAUUGUAACCUUGUGAUAUCAUACAGAGAAUCACAGGGUAGUAUCUCAGGGUCUGU
Non-coding RNA from Sarcophilus harrisii (Tasmanian devil), 63 nucleotides. The record is from Rfam. NCBI's taxonomy places the organism in Eukaryota, Metazoa, Chordata, Mammalia, Dasyuromorphia, Dasyuridae.